This 497-nucleotide ribosomal RNA is filed under the name uncultured bacterium. Its description in RNAcentral is "partial 16S ribosomal RNA". It matches the Rfam family "Bacterial small subunit ribosomal RNA", at positions 28 to 507 of the family's 1533-position model. The record is from RNAcentral.
GAUGAACGCUGGCGGCGUGCCUAAUACAUGCAAGUCGAGCGAACAGAUAAGGAGCUUGCUCCUUUGACGUUAGCGGCGGACGGGUGAGUAACACGUGGGUCACCUACCUAUAUGACUGGUAUAACUCCGGGAAACCGGGGCUUAUGCCGGAUAACAUUUAGAACCGCAUGGUUCUAAAGUGAAAGAUGGUUUUGCUAUCACUUCUCGAUGGACCCGCGCCGUAUUAGCUAGUUGGUACGGUAACGGGUUACCACGGCAACGAUACGUAGCCGACCUGAGAGGGUGAUCGGCCACACGGGAGCGGAGACACGGUCCAGGCUCCUGAGGGAGGCAGCAGUAGGGUAUCGGCCGCAAUAGGCGAAAGCCUGACGGAGCAACGGCGCGUGAGUGAUGAAGGUCUUCGGAGCGUAAAACUCUGUUAUUAGUGGAGAACAAAUGUGUAAGGAAAUGUGCACGUCGUGACGGUACCUAAUCAGAAAGCCACGGCUAACUACGUG